GCCAGAGUGGUGGAAUUGGUAGACACGCCGGAUUCAAAAUCCGGUGCUCGCAAGAGCGUGACGGUUCAAGUCCGUCCUCUGGUACCA
Molecule: transfer RNA, 87 nt
Filed under: Gammaproteobacteria bacterium
Lineage: Bacteria; Pseudomonadati; Pseudomonadota; Gammaproteobacteria
Also listed under: 1 other name
Description: tRNA-Leu
Rfam family: tRNA
About the family: Transfer RNA (tRNA) molecules are approximately 80 nucleotides in length.
Source: RNAcentral